GAUGAACGCUGGCGGCGUGCCUAAUACAUGCAAGUCGAGCGAACAGACGAGGAGCUUGCUCCUCUGACGUUAGCGGCGGACGGGUGAGUAACACGUGGAUAACCUACCUAUAAGACUGGGAUAACUUCGGGAAACCGGAGCUAAUACCGGAUAAUAUAUUGAACCGCAUGGUUCAAUAGUGAAAGACGGUUUUGCUGUCACUUAUAGAUGUAUCCGCGCCGCAUUAGCUAGUUGGUAAGGUAACGGCUUACCAAGGCGACGAUGCGUAGCCGACCUGAGAGGAUGAUCGGCCACACUGGAACUGAGACACGGUCCAGACUCCUACGGGAGGCAGCAGUAGGGAAUCUUCCGCAAUGGGCGAAAGCCUGACGGAGCAACGCCGCGUGAGUGAUGAAGGUCUUCGGAUCGUAAAGCUCUGUUAGUAGGGAAGAACAGAUGUGUAAGUAACUAUGCACGUCUUGACGGUACCUAAUCAGAAAGCCACGGCUAACUACGUG
Molecule: ribosomal RNA, 497 nt
Filed under: uncultured bacterium
Lineage: Bacteria
Description: partial 16S ribosomal RNA
Rfam family: Bacterial small subunit ribosomal RNA
Source: RNAcentral